Molecule: ribosomal RNA, 38 nt
Filed under: Typhlodromalus deleoni
Lineage: Eukaryota; Metazoa; Arthropoda; Arachnida; Mesostigmata; Phytoseiidae
Description: partial 28S ribosomal RNA
Source: RNAcentral
CUGAAAUCAAGUGUGACGACCCCCUGAAUUAUGCAUAU